RNAcentral lists this long non-coding RNA (1003 nucleotides) under Manihot esculenta (cassava). RNAcentral describes it as "long non-coding RNA (MESC_LNC001315)". Lineage: Eukaryota; Viridiplantae; Streptophyta; Magnoliopsida; Malpighiales; Euphorbiaceae. The record is from RNAcentral.
UGAGAGGAGGUGAUCCGUUUUCCCUUGUUCAGAGGGUGUAGCUUCUUACGACAGGAGGUAAGUGAUGUUCUUGAAUAUGUUUUCUGAAGGUUUUAGGGGGAUUGGUGGAAGGAGAUGCAUGUUUAGGUUCUUAAUGAUAGUUUUGAUGAGUUAUGCAUGUAUACAUGUUUAUGUGUUAUGUUUGAUUUGUUGUUUGGGGUUAUUAGAUAGUUUUGGACCCCUGUGAUCAUAUACUUAUGUAUAUGUGUGAUGAGGAGUUGGUAUAUGCAUGUUUGGAGUUAUUGAAGGGAAGGAGGUGAUAGUUUGUCGUUGAAGCUGAGUUCUGGAUGAACUCAGGUUCGGCAGCCGAAGGUUCAUUCGGCCGCCGAACCUCCUGCAUGGUGGCUUGAUUGCCACAGCUUGCCCCCGAGUGUUUUUGCAUGUUCGGCUCUGUUUGGGGGAUUCGGCCGCCGAAGGUGCCGCCGAAGGUGCUUGAGUUUCGUCUCUGGAGAGGACAUUCGGCCGCCGAACCUGCCGCCGAAAGUGUUCUGUCCAGCUUUCCUUUGCUUGCUUUGUAUGACUAUUAGAGUGAGUGUAAGGGGAUUCUUGGGGAGUUUAAUAGAGUUGGUCAUAAGCUUGUUUGGUCCCUCAUUUGAGUCUUUAUGUGCUUAUACAGACCAGAGGAACCAGAGAGAGCAGCAGUGAGUACUGCUCCAGAGAUUCAGAACCUGCAGAGUCAGUCAGUCCAGUUAGCCAGAGGUGAGUGGAACUAAACUUAUGACUUUUAAUUGAAUCACAAACUGCUUUUAGCAUAUCUCAUGCAUCAUGAUUAUGCCAUAGGUUGAUUGCAUUAGUAUACACGAAUAUGUUGCAUUGCAUUGUUAUUUGGUGAUGUGAGUAAAUGCUGAAUGAUCCAAUAGUCACAGACAGGAAGUCCAGGAGCCUUUGACUACGCCCUGGCACGUAUAGCAAAGUCCAGGAGCCUUUGACUACGCCCUGGCAAUGGUAAGUACAGAGGUGUUAU